Molecule: small nucleolar RNA, 132 nt
Organism: Pelodiscus sinensis (Chinese soft-shelled turtle)
Lineage: Eukaryota; Metazoa; Chordata; Testudines; Trionychidae
Product: small nucleolar RNA SNORA42/SNORA80 family
Source: Ensembl
GCAUGGGUCUGGAUUUAUGGAAGGGUACCCCAUAGCUCCUCCAUAGUGUACCCCAUGCAAGAGUAGAUGGCCCUCCUGAACCAUGGCCGUCCCAGUGCCUGUGGGUCCUGGACUCAAAUGGGGGGCACAGCU